RNAcentral lists this ribosomal RNA (500 nucleotides) under uncultured bacterium. Its description in RNAcentral is "bacterial SSU rRNA". It matches the Rfam family "Bacterial small subunit ribosomal RNA", at positions 29 to 517 of the family's 1533-position model. The record is from RNAcentral.
AGUGAACGCUGGCGGCAGGCCUAAUACAUGCAAGUCGAACGGCAGCACGGCAGAGCUUGCUCUGUGGGUGGCGAGUGGCGGACGGGUGAGGAAUACAUGGGAAUCUGCCCAGUCGUGGGGGAUAACGUAGGGAAACUUACGCUAAUACCGCAUGCGCCCUUCGGGGAAAGGCCGGGGACCUUCGGGCCUGGCGCGAUUGGAUGAGCCCAUGUCGGAUUAGCUAGUUGGCGGGGUAAUGGCCCACCAAGGCGACGAUCCGUAGCUGGUCUGAGAGGAUGAUCAGCCACACUGGAACUGAGACACGGUCCAGACUCCUACGGGAGGCAGCAGUAGGGAAUAUUGGACAAUGGGCGCAAGCCUGAUCCAGCCAUGCCGCGUGAGUGAAGAAGGCCCUCGGGUUGUAAAGCUCUUUUGUCCGGAAAGAAAAGCGCCGGGUUAAUACCCUGGUGUCCUGACGGUACCGGAAGAAUAAGCACCGGCUAACUUCGUGCCAGCAGCCG